AACGAACGCUGGCGGCAUGCCUAACACAUGCAAGUCGAACGAGACCUGCGGGUCUAGUGGCGCACGGGUGCGUAACGCGUGGGAACCUGCCCUUAGGUUCGGAAUAACUCCCCGAAAGGGGUGCUAAUACCGGAUAAUGUCUUCGGACCAAAGAGUUAUCGCCUUUGGAUGGGCCCGCGUGGGAUUAGCUAGGUGGUAGGGUAAAAGCCUACAAAGGCGACGAUCCAUAGCUGGUCUGAGAGGAUGAUCCGCCACACUGGGACUGAGACACGGCCCAGACUCCUACGGGCGGCAGCAGUGGGGAAUAUUGGACCAUGAGCGAUAGCCUGAUCCAGCCCUGCCGCGUGAGUGCUGCAGGCCUUAGGGUUGUAAAGCUCUUUUACCCGGGAUGAUAAUGACGGUACCGGGAGAAUAAGCCCCGGCUAACUACGUG
Molecule: ribosomal RNA, 433 nt
Filed under: uncultured bacterium
Lineage: Bacteria
Description: partial 16S ribosomal RNA
Rfam family: Bacterial small subunit ribosomal RNA
Source: RNAcentral